This 77-nucleotide transfer RNA is filed under the name Rubritalea profundi. Its description in RNAcentral is "tRNA-Pro". It matches the Rfam family "tRNA". From Rfam's summary of the family: Transfer RNA (tRNA) molecules are approximately 80 nucleotides in length. Their secondary structure includes four short double-helical elements and three loops (D, anti-codon, and T loops). The record is from RNAcentral. Lineage: Bacteria; Pseudomonadati; Verrucomicrobiota; Verrucomicrobiia; Verrucomicrobiales; Rubritaleaceae. RNAcentral also lists the same sequence under 12 other names.
CGGGACUUGGCGCAGUUUGGUAGCGCGCUUCGCUGGGGGUGAAGAGGUCGCAGGUUCGAAUCCUGUAGUCCCGACCA